CCGAGUGAGGGUGCCUCCGGGCGCCCGACCUCCCAACCCUUUGUUUUGACCAACACCUCAGUUGCCUCGGGGGUGACCCGGCCCUCGCGGGUGCGGGGCCCCCCGUGGACCAAACAUCAACGCUGCAUCUUUGCGUCGGAGUCAUUGAAGCGAAUUCAAUCA
This 162-nucleotide unclassified non-coding RNA is filed under the name uncultured Chaetothyriales. Its description in RNAcentral is "sequence contains ITS1". The record is from RNAcentral. Lineage: Eukaryota; Fungi; Ascomycota; Eurotiomycetes; Chaetothyriales.